This 397-nucleotide ribosomal RNA is filed under the name uncultured bacterium. Its description in RNAcentral is "bacterial SSU rRNA". It matches the Rfam family "Bacterial small subunit ribosomal RNA", at positions 542 to 937 of the family's 1533-position model. The record is from RNAcentral.
UAUCCGGAAUUAUUGGGCGUAAAGGGCUCGUAGGCGGUUCGUCGCGUCCGGUGUGAAAGUCCAUCGCUUAACGGUGGAUCCGCGCCGGGUACGGGCGGGCUUGAGUGCGGUAGGGGAGACUGGAAUUCCCGGUGUAACGGUGGAAUGUGUAGAUAUCGGGAAGAACACCAAUGGCGAAGGCAGGUCUCUGGGCCGUUACUGACGCUGAGGAGCGAAAGCGUGGGGAGCGAACAGGAUUAGAUACCCUGGUAGUCCACGCCGUAAACGGUGGAUGCUGGAUGUGGGGCCCGUUCCACGGGUUCCGUGUCGGAGCUAACGCGUUAAGCAUCCCGCCUGGGGAGUCCGGCCGCAAGCUAAACCUCAAAGAAAUUGACGGGGGCCCGCACAAGCCGCGGAC